UGUCUACUCCCUCCGUUCGGAAUUACUUGUCUUGGAAAUGGAUGUAUUUAAAACUAAAAUAUGUCUAGAUACAUGCAUUUUCACGACAAGUAAUUCCGAACGGAGGGAGUAACAU
Non-coding RNA from Triticum aestivum (bread wheat), 115 nucleotides. The record is from Rfam. NCBI's taxonomy places the organism in Eukaryota, Viridiplantae, Streptophyta, Magnoliopsida, Poales, Poaceae.